RNAcentral lists this long non-coding RNA (3622 nucleotides) under Apis florea (little honeybee). RNAcentral describes it as "uncharacterized LOC116415109". Lineage: Eukaryota; Metazoa; Arthropoda; Insecta; Hymenoptera; Apidae. The record is from RNAcentral.
UUUUUUCUUUUUUUUUUUUUUUUUUUAUUUUUAUUUUUUUAUUUUAUUUACAAUACUCCUGAUGCAAAAUAGUGAUGAUAUCGAUUUUUUUUCCCCUUGACCCACCCCCUCCCUCCCCCCUUUCCCCUUCCCUCGUUUCCUCCUUCUCUUUCUUAUCCUCUUUCAGUUCAAACAAACAUAUUUUUAUAUUCACAAGAGAGGAUCUCUCUUUAUCGUAUCCCUUAUUACACACGAUACAGAUAAAUUACUUCACUCGUACGUACUUAUACUUUGGCGCAACAAUUCAUCAACGAACAAAUUAAUUUAUUCAUCGUUUUUUUUUCUUCUUCUUCUUCUAUUUUUAUAAUAAUAAUAAUAAUAAUAAUAAUAAUAAUCGUGGCUUCUCUCGACGCACAAUAUACGUAUGCAUGUAUAUUCUAUAUAACAAUCAUGAUGCUCACGUUUCGUAUUCUAUCCGUUUAUGCAAGGACAUAACAUUUUGCCACGACGAUACGUAGGAGGAGGAAUCGCGGCGCGAUUCAUUAUUUUUCAGCCUACUUAUUAUAAGAAAAGGUACGUGGAGGAUUUGAUUGGUGCAUCCGUGGUGAACGAGUCGUUACGAAUCAAGAUCCAAUCAAUGAUAAAACGACACGUGUACAAAGCGGCUUUCGCGAGGCGCGGAAAGCUUCUCGGCGGGAAAUUUGAAAAACGGCGUUCGAAAUCCCGGCUCGAAACUCGACACGUGUGUUAUUAUCAUUAUUUUAACACGGUGAUCGUCGAGCCGGAUUUCCACUGGUCGGGCAUCGACAGGAACUCGAGUAUCGCCGGCUAAUCCUACGGAAUACCCUAAUAGCAGCCCUAAUUGCGGGGGGGCUAACUCGGGCAAAUCUCGAAACUGUCGUGUUCAAUCUCGGCUGGCGUUUUCGAGAUCGUGACAAAAGGAAGGUCGCGAGGACACGCUCGCAAAUUCCCUCUCUCGAGCGACAGCGUCCGAAAUCGCCAACGUCCAAGUUUCGAGAGCGUGGGGGCUCGAUGAGAUCGAUCGAUCGAUCGAUCGGACACGCCUCUCGUUUCCCCACCUUUGUUUGCUUGCUUCUUCUACAUUUCGACAAAGGGAAUUACCGAUUUCCUCUAUUAUGUAUACGCGUAUGUAUCGCCCUCGGAUCGGCGUAUAUAACAAAUCGAUACACAGGAAACUGUAUUAUAGCGGCGAAACACCUUUCUCUGGAAAAAUUGUUACGAACGAACGAUCGUAUAAAUUUCGAAUUUCGAAAUUAUCGAUAACGAAUAUUUCUCUUCGAAUUUCCUGGACGAGGCGGGUGAACGACACACACACACACUCUCUCUCUCUCUCUCUUACACACGUACGUCCGUGACUAACGGAAAAAUCAAUACAAGCGCGGCUAUCUGGUGUCGCGUUUUAACGGAUUUCGCGAUCGUUACUACUACAUUGUUGAUUUCCAGGCAGUGUCCUCGAUGAACCAACGAUGACGAGGAGGGGAGGGAGGGAAAUUUUUUGCUGAUAUUUUAUCGUACGAUUUUAUUGCAAGUUGCUUCGUCUUGCAAUAAAAUAUCAAAGGAAAUCCGCGUCAGCAACGAGGGGAGCUGAAAUCGUUACUUUUCGAAACAUUUCUCGGUAGAAGCGAAUAUACAUAUAUUGCUGAUCAAAAGUUUUUGGAAUCAUUGGAAUUUGAUCGAGAUUAAACGGAGAUUGAACAAUUUUUUUUAACAACGAAAUUAGAAUAUAGAUUCGAAUCGUAAAGGUGAUUCUAAAACUUCUGAUCGUUUAGUGCCAACCUUCGAAAUUAAAAUAAAAACUUCCUCCAAUUAUAUUGCCUCGAUGUGCGCAAAAACGUGUCUCGAAAAACGUGUUACCAGGCACCAAAAAGUUUCUCGUUGUUGCUUCAGCGAGGACACAUGGCUUAAGGCUACAUGGCUCGCUUUCCCCCUCUCUUGCUCCCUUGCAUUUCCGCUUCUUUCUUUUAUUUUCCAUAUCUCUCGUUCCAACCAAUCUCGAAAGAUAGCAGAAACCACGAACGAGAGACGAAGAGAGUGAAUAUUCGUGUCGUUUACGAUAAACACGCAUCCUCUAUCGAACAGUGAAGUAGUGAAAGAAAAAUCCUUGAUAUGCCAACGACCCGAUAUUUCAUCGCGUCGAAGCAUAAGCCUACUUGUACACAACUCCCUGUUGAACGCUUCGAGUUCUCCAAUUCUUUCUGGAUUAUUCUUUCCAACUACGCGUAUGUAUGUGUGCAUGCAUAUAUCCCGAUGGCGAGACAUAUAUACUAUAUAUAUAGUAUAUAUAUAUAGUAUAUACAAACAAGUCAGAAAGGGUCCAGUGUGCAAGCGAGUAAAACGCUCGAUACGUGUACAACGAUACAAUCAGAUGAUGUUCCAGAUACCCGAUCCGAGCUAAUUAAUUUUCGUCGAACGUUUCCAAUUAAUUUUCACGGGAAACAGUUAAUUAACGAGGGCUGUAUAAUCGAACGUUCGCAGGAUUCGAGGACACGACCCUGAAAUUCUCGAAGAACGACGAUCCCUGGAACUUUUGAUAAAACGCGAUUUAAACGGCCGAGGUAUUUUUGUGUGAAAAGAGAUAUCCUUUCAAAAAUAUUUGCUAUUAUAUAUUCUAUCUUCUGUUUAUAUUUUUGAUAAAACUUGUAAAAUUAGUUGUUUAAAAUUCUUUUUAUUCUUUUUUAGCAAAAAUUUUAUUAUUCUCGUUUAUGCGUAUUAUAUUACGAAUAACGAUGGACAUAAAGAAAAUUGGAUGUAUUAAUAUUGUUAAAAAUUUAUUAACAAAAUAUAUCAAAUUUUACUUUGUACAUUAUCAGAUUAAGAUCUUAUUACGGGCGAAGAAAAAAAUUGCGUAUUAUAUCAUGGAAGAUGGAAAUCUAGGAUACAAUUUAUUAUGACAUUUUUAUGUCCAGUCAUCGAAUAUGCACGUAUAACCCAUUUAAUGGUGUGACCAAUUUAAAAUAACCCGUAUGAAUUUCACAAAUUUAAAUUUAAUAAAUAAUUUAAUAUUUGUAAAAUAUAUAUAAUAUAUAAUUUAGAAUCGGAAAUAUAUAAAAUAAAGUUCAAGAGAGAUCGAUGUUAAAAUCAUUUACCAUUAAAAGGGUUGAAUAUUCAUGCACAUAUUUCUCGUGCAUUAACAAGAUCUGCUGUGAAACUGUACAACAAAAUUGCUUUCAGUUUCGAAGAAACCGUAGCGAAGAGGUUGAAUCGGUAAAAGCAAAGAUAGAUGAAGAUUAAUCGAGUGGCUAACUAUUCUUGAAAGGAUAUCUUUUCAACAGCCAUCUACAUAAUCUAACUGCCGUUCUAUAAAACUUCUCAUCGUGUUGGAUAACACAGAAAUUACUAAAGAGACUUUAUCUUCUGGUUACGUCAUCGUGUUUGUUAACGAUCGAGAAGUGAAUCCGGUGCACGUUAUCGAUGGCGAGAAAUAACCAGAUAUAACAGAUGAUUACGAACAGUGGCAGAAGCUAUCCGUCACGAAUCUUCCACUCUGCACACGCACUUCGUUCUUACACAUAUAUGAUUAUUUUCUAAUAUAAAGACUCGUUACUUUGACCAGCAAAACACGCACGAUAUACAGUAGUGUCCACUUUAACGCUCACAGUUCAGAAAUGAGAGGAAAGAAAAA